This 423-nucleotide long non-coding RNA is filed under the name Homo sapiens (human). RNAcentral's name for it is "HSALNT0020400". Lineage: Eukaryota; Metazoa; Chordata; Mammalia; Primates; Hominidae. The record is from RNAcentral.
GGAAUCUGGAACUUCCCCUGUACUUGGGGAGCUUGCCAAGGACUCUGAGGGCAAAGCGAUAUCCCUGCACUGCUGCCUGCUGGUGGGGGAUCCAAAGGGAGCCUAGGAACAAGGGCCACCCAAGGAACCAGCCAGAAAAUGACUGUGCCUAGGAGAGCACUUGCUGCAGACUGAGACGAUCCUUUGUGAGCUCCCCUGACGCCCCCGAGAGGAAGAGGGAGAUCUGGAAAGGGACUGGAGAGUUGUGAAAAAAGCUGGCACAUGAUGGCAAGGAAUGGACAGCGUGUGGAUUGUCCUUAAGGAAAAGGGUUCUGUCUUACCCUACAUCUCACCACACCUGACUCUGCUAAGUAAAAGGAUAAAACCAGGAGCACAGCCAUGCCAGUCUCCUGUGGCUCUGUCCCCUCCACCUUCCUCCCGUGG